CAAAAGCUUGGUCCUGACUUUACUAUCAACUUUAGCUUAACUUACACAUGCAAGUAUCCGCACCCCCGUGAGAAUGCCCCACAGUUCCCUGCCCGGGAACAAGGAGCUGGUAUCAGGCACACUCAAUUUCAGCCCACGACACCUUGCUUAGCCACACCCUCAAGGGUAUUCAGCAGUGAUAAACCUUAAGCCAUAAGUGAAAACUUGACUUAGUCAAAGCUAAGAGGGCCGGUAAAACUCGUGCCAGCCACCGCGGUUAUACGAGAGACCCAAGUUGAUAGACCCGGCGUAAAGAGUGGUUAAGGAAAAACUAAAACUAAAGCCGAACAUCUUCAAUACUGUUAUACGCACCCGAAGAUAAGAAGUCCAACUACGAAAGUGGCUUUAUACCCACCCCGAACCCACGAAAGCUAUGACACAAACUGGGAUUAGAUACCCCACUAUGCUUAGCCCUAAACAUUGAUAGUAUAAUACACCUACUAUCCGCCUGGGAAUUACGAGCAUUAGCUUAAAACCCAAAGGACUUGGCGGUGCUUUAGACCCACCUAGAGGAGCCUGUCCUAGAACCGAUAACCCCCGUUCAACCUCACCCUUCUUUGUUUUCCCCGCCUAUAUACCGCCGUCGUCAGCUUACCCUGUGAAGGACUAAUAGUAAGCAGAAUUGGCACAGCCCAAAACGUCAGGUCGAGGUGUAGCGUAUGGAAGGGGAAGAGAUGGGCUACAUUCCCUAACACAGGGAAUACGAAUGAUAUACUGAAACGUACAUCCUGAAGGAGGAUUUAGCAGUAAGCAGAAAACAGAGAGUUCUACUGAAGCUGGCCCUGAAGCGCGCACACACCGCCCGUCACUCUCCCCUGGUUUAGCAAAACUCAAGUAACUAAAAUCAAAUCGCCCCAAAGGGGAGGCAAGUCGUAACAUGGUAAGUGUACCGGAAGGUGCACUUGGAAAAAU
This 951-nucleotide non-coding RNA is filed under the name Macquaria australasica (Macquarie perch). RNAcentral's name for it is "12S ribosomal RNA". It matches the Rfam family "Bacterial small subunit ribosomal RNA". Lineage: Eukaryota; Metazoa; Chordata; Actinopteri; Centrarchiformes; Percichthyidae. The record is from RNAcentral.